This 394-nucleotide ribosomal RNA is filed under the name Nitrospirota bacterium. RNAcentral's name for it is "Nitrospirae bacterium (groundwater metagenome) partial 23S ribosomal RNA". It matches the Rfam family "Bacterial large subunit ribosomal RNA", at positions 2536 to 2925 of the family's 2925-position model. Lineage: Bacteria; Pseudomonadati; Nitrospirota. The record is from RNAcentral.
CUCAUCGCAUCCUGGGGCUGAAGUAGGUCCCAAGGGUUGGGCUGUUCGCCCAUUAAAGCGGUACGCGAGCUGGGUUCAGAACGUCGUGAGACAGUUCGGUCCCUAUCUGUUGUAGGCGCAGGAGACUUGAGGGGAGCUGUCCUUAGUACGAGAGGACCGGGAUGGACGGACCUCUGGUGUGUGGGUUGUUCUGCCAAGAGCAAUGCCCAGUAGCUACGUCCGGAUGGGAUAACCGCUGAAAGCAUCUAAGUGGGAAGCCCACCCCAAGACUAGGUCUCCCUACCGAGCAAUCGGUACUAAAGGUCUGUGGUAGACUACCACAUUGAUAGGCUGGGUGUGUAAGUCCGGUGACGGAUUCAGCUAACCAGUACUAAUAGACCGUGUGCCUUGACCC